UGCAGAAUCCCGCGAAUCAUCGAGUCUUUGAACGCAAGUUGCGCCCGAAGCCAUCUGGUCGAGGGCACGUCUGCCUGGGUGUCACGC
Molecule: ribosomal RNA, 87 nt
Filed under: Carpinus caroliniana (American hornbeam)
Lineage: Eukaryota; Viridiplantae; Streptophyta; Magnoliopsida; Fagales; Betulaceae
Also listed under: 3 other names
Description: partial 5.8S ribosomal RNA
Rfam family: 5.8S ribosomal RNA
About the family: 5.8S ribosomal RNA (5.8S rRNA) is a component of the large subunit of the eukaryotic ribosome. It is transcribed by RNA polymerase I as part of the 45S precursor that also contains 18S and 28S rRNA.
Source: RNAcentral